GUCGUCAGGGAUACGGGCUAAAGAUAUUGGGUUCCUAAGUAAAUAUGGCACAAAUGUUUUUUUUCCAAGUUUAAAUUAAAAAAAAAAAAAUUAAACGUCAUAAUUUACCAUAAUUCAUUAUAUAAAAGGUGGAUGUCUAACCAAUAUUCAAGGACAAUCAAUUAAUAUCAUGAACCAUAGAAAAACAAGAAUGUGUCGUAAGUACAUGGAUGCCCC
This 216-nucleotide long non-coding RNA is filed under the name Mytilus galloprovincialis (Mediterranean mussel). Lineage: Eukaryota; Metazoa; Mollusca; Bivalvia; Mytilida; Mytilidae. The record is from RNAcentral.